This is a long non-coding RNA of Amphiprion ocellaris (clown anemonefish), 843 nucleotides long. RefSeq lists it as uncharacterized. NCBI's taxonomy places the organism in Eukaryota, Metazoa, Chordata, Actinopteri, Pomacentridae. The record is from RefSeq and is a predicted model, not a curated record. The transcript has 3 exons.
AAUAUUGAUUUUUUUUAUAGAGCGUUAAAGUUUUGCGAAGCCAGGGGGCGGGACUACUUGAUUGACAGUCCGGUCUGGAAUGAUUGACAGGUCCUAUGGAGGAGGCAGCAGAGACUCUGCUCUCCUCGUUUGGAUUAAUUCUGAUAUAAUAACUGUUGGUUUAUUUAUCGGUGCAGCAGCACAACAUUUUCCACAGACAGUUUUCCUGCCCGUUGGCUUGUUUUAACCAGUUUUCUACCUUCGGCUGAUUCUACCAGCAGACACUGAAAGGACUCUGAUAGUUCGAGUGAAAGUAGCAGUUCCUCCUUAAGGUCAGAGAUUGCAGCAUCUGAGGGCCUCUUCAAAAGAAGACGUAGUUGAUGAAGGCGUUCUGGAGCAGGACCAGAAAGACCACGACCAAGCAGCCUUGAGAUCUUAGGCAGCGUCUCCCUCAGGUCCCUCUCUAUCUCCCUACACAUCCACCAACCACUGGAACACAUCUCCAAAGUUCUGCUGGGCCAGCUCAGCUUCCCCUCAGAAGAAGUGCCGCCACCUGCCAGAUGAAGGAGCCUUUUGAGAGGCAGCUGGCAUCGUGUUUGGACUGUACUUUGGUCUGUUCCAAUCCAGCUUCAGCUCCAGAGACGGCAGGCGGAACGAGUCAACGGAGGCCGGGUGGACGAAGGCAUGCAGCUGAGUACAAUCCAGAAAACAACAGAGGAGGAGUGCAGUGGCCUAGUGGCAAAACAAACAGAGUAGCAUGGUAUGUCUCUUAGAAAACAUCAUAGUAUAGCCUUUGGUAUGAAAAAAUGCCAUCAUAUACAUCGUAUAUUGUACAAAUAAUAAGUCAAAGGAAAGAGACAUACA